Long non-coding RNA from Carassius gibelio (silver crucian carp), 2891 nucleotides. RefSeq lists it as uncharacterized. The record is from RefSeq and is a predicted model, not a curated record. The transcript has 3 exons. NCBI's taxonomy places the organism in Eukaryota, Metazoa, Chordata, Actinopteri, Cypriniformes, Cyprinidae.
UGGCAAAGUAGAUAAUCUCCCUCCCCUGGUACUUAGAAACGGCCUAUCAGGGCUCAGUCAUUGCUUUAUAAAGGCUGUGAUUAGGCUACCUGGGAUGCGUCAUUGUUGGCCCCGCCCAUCCGGUACGUGUGCGCUCCCGCCUAACAAAGGUAUGUUUGUAGCUGGUCUGGCUAAUGCUGCAAUGAGCUCUUGGACCUCGGCUAACUAUAUUAAUUUAUUGUAGCUGGAGUCGCCUUUUUGCAGCUUGAAUAGCCCAUUAUUCCUGGCUUCGUUGUGGUUUUCAGGCUGUUCUUGCCACCUGGUUAGACUGAUUUCAUUCAAGUAAUCUUCUGAGACUUGUGCUGUGAGCAACUGUAUGAGGUGUGUGUAACGCUGUAGUCAAUACCUGGCCCCUGAGUCGGGUGGCUAGCUGUCCUAGUAUCCUGGUGGUGGUGGUGUUUGGAGCACGGAGUGUGGAUUGUCGUUUGUAGUCACUCACCUCACUGUGUGUGUGUGUGUGUGUGUGUGUGUGUGUGCUUUUACGAAUAGCCACUUUUGCAGCUAGCCUACCCUGCUAGGGGUAAGCCUUCGUAAAACUGAUUAAUGUAUGCCUGGUCGAAUCAUAUCUUUGCCUAAACUUUUAAAAGGUGUAUUUUCUACUUUGUGAAUUUAAUAAAUAGUUUAUACGCUAGUGCCUCUGUCUCUGCCUCCUAUGGUAACGAACCUGUGUCUAAAUUCCAUCAAGUAUUUAGUUCCCCUCACUUUAGAGGGGUGGCGUAGUCGGUAGUUACAUCAUAAUUAAUUAACUUCAAGUUGCCACGCCACAUUCUGGCGUAGUCGGCAGGGUACCGUGUUUGGCGGAGACACUGGUAUUAGUGGUUGUAUUUUUUUUGUUUGUUCUUUUUCUUUUCUUUUUCUGUUGCAGUGAGAUUGGUAAAGAGUAGCAGCAAAACAGCAGCGCACGUCUGGUGGAUUCUGAUUCUUUGUGAGUCUACUCCCUCUUGUUGGUAAGUGUUACGGCCGUCAAAAUUAUGGAAGAAGAGUUACAGGAAUUGAGGGAAGUAGUAGCUCAGUUGCGGGCAGAAAAUGAGAGGUUGCGUCAAGACCACUUUCUUGCGCUUCCUGGCCCUAGUGAUGCACCUUCUAUUGUUCCUGGUCCUUCUGUUGCUGCCCCCCCCUCAGCCAAGUAAUGCACAGGCAGUCCUGCCAGAACGAUUUGUUUUUGUACCUCGAGACAGGAAAUGUCAAAAAUUCAAUGGCAGGGUUGGUCUGAGCAUUGAUGAGUGGGUUGAAGAGGCCAAAGCUUGUAUGCAGGCUCGUCCCCUGUCUGUUUCUGAUCAAGCUUUCUUCUUGUUUGACCACUUGGAGGGGGAGGCCGGGGAAGAGAUUAGGUACCGUUCGGAGAUUGAGCGAAAUGAUCCAGAUAAAAUUAUUUUGGUGUUGCGGGAAUUAUAUGGUUGCUCACAGUCAUAUGUCUCAUUACAGGAGGCAUUUUUUUCUAGAAAGCAGCAGGAGGGUGAAUCAUUGUUGGAGUUUUCCCUAGCUUUGAUGGGUCUCCUAGAACGUGUGACGCAGCGAUCGCCGUAUGUUAUGCCAAAUUCACAAGUUUUGCUACACGAUCAGUUCAUUGAACAUGUUUGUGACGUGGCCCUUCGCCGAGAAUUAAAACCGCUAAUACGUCGUCAGCCAAUGUUAACAUUGUUGGAAGUUCGAAGCGAAGCUCUUAGAUGGGAAAGGGAGGGGAUGUUGGGGAGUACGAGAGGACUUGUAACAAGUGUCUCGUGUUUUCUCGUUGAGUAGCCGUCAAGGCCAGGGGACUUGUAACAAGUGUCUCGUGGUUCUCGUUGAGUAGCCGUCAUGGCAGAGCACUUGUAACAAGUGUCUCGUGUUUCUCGUUGAGUAGCCGUCAAGGCCAGAGGACUUGUAACAAGUGUCUCGUGUUUCUCGUUGAGUAGCCGUCAAGGCCAGAGGACUUGUAACAAGUGUCUCGUGUUUCUCGUUGAGUAGCCGUCAAGGCCAGAGGACUUGUGCUAAGUAUCUCGUGUUUCUCAUUGAGUAGUAUGGUCAGUGGUUCGAGUUGUGUUAUCGUCGGGGCGACGAUAAAAUGGUUGGGGCAGAUUGUGGCAAAGUAGAUAAUCUCCCUCCCCUGGUACUUAGAAACGGCCUAUCAGGGCUCAGUCAUUGCUUUAUAAAGGCUGUGAUUAGGCUACCUGGGAUGCGUCAUUGUUGGCCCCGCCCAUCCGGUACGUGUGCGCUCCCGCCUAACAAAGCUGGAGUCGCCUUUUUGCAGCUUGAAUAGCCCAUUAUUCCUGGCUUCGUUGUGGUUUUCAGGCUGUUCUUGCCACCUGGUUAGACUGAUUUCAUUCAAGUAAUCUUCUGAGACUUGUGCUGUGAGCAACUGUAUGAGGUGUGUGUAACGCUGUAGUCAAUACCUGGUAUGUAUAGAUACACAUGUAUAUGCAUUUCUUUUUAAUGGACACUUGAUUGUGUUUUAAAUUUAACUAAUGGGUUGUUUUUAGUAGGACAAAGUUUUGGGAACGUCCGCCUGUUUUCGGGUGGGGAAGAUCGCCUCCUGCAUAAUAGCAGAUUAAAGACGGCGUUGCUGUUUUGCUGUGUUGCUGUUUUGCUGUUUUGCUGUUUUGCUGUUUAAUUAAGUUUUGUUGUGCUCGUAUCAUUGUAUGGUUUUUGGUUAUUGUUUGUUUUCGUUACAAUUGAUUUUUGUUUGAUUUUGAUUUUGUAGUGAUUGUUAAAACUUUUGCUUUAAAUAUAUAUUUCUUUCCUUUUCAUUUCAGUUUUCUUUAAGUGACCAUUGUUCAUUUUUUUUUUACAUUUUGUUGUGUGUUUUGGUAAUUGUUUCAGUCAAUCAGGCUUUAGAUUAAUUUCGUUUUGUACAUUUGAGUAAUUUGUGUUUU